AUCGGAAGCAGGAAAAAGAUAAACCUGAAGAAAGUACCACAGAGGAAGAUUCAGAUAAGGAAAGUGAUGACAGAAGCCUUGGAAACACAACUGAUGUUCUAAAUAUGACACAUAUGAUGAGAUUGAAUCCCAGUGACCAGUCCUUAAAAUUAUCACCAGUUCAAAAACAAAAGGAUCAAAAAACUUCUGAAGAUGAAGAGACUGAUAAUGAAGAAGAAGAAGAAGAAGAAAUAACAGACAAAGAAGAGGAGGAGGAAGAGGAGGGAGGCAGCAAUGAUGAUGGGAAAGUGCAUGAAAAAGAGGAACAUGACAGUAAAACACCUGAGGGAGAAAGAAGCAAUAACACCACUUCAGAAACUCCAGAGGAAGAGAAGACCCCUCAAGAAGAGAAAAUACUUCAGCAAGAGAGAGAAAAUACCCCCGACACUCAUCCUGAGAACAGUUCUUCAAGGGCAAUUUCGGAAAGUGGUGAUGAUAGAAUAUCUGGAGGAAUACUUGGAAGGACUAAAAAGUUUUCUCUGUUUAAGCGAAAGUCGUUGACAAGUCAGAAAAAUGUACAUAACAAUAAUGAAGGUAAAUCUGAAAAGCCACUCCAAAGUGAAAAGGAUAAAGGAAAGGAAGCAGAUUUAUCUGGUGAUGACAGGAAAGACGAAAACCAAAAUCACACGAGGGAGAAUCCUAAGGAAACCGCAACUACCAGUAACCAGGGCAGAAAGACCAAGUCCUCUACUUGUGUAAUACUGUAAUGCUGUCAGAAUAUAUAUUUGAAAGGCUGCAAGCACAUGUUGCAAUUUAUACUUGAAAACAAUUAUGACUUCUUAUUGUUACUGAU
Molecule: long non-coding RNA, 832 nt
Filed under: Terrapene triunguis (Three-toed box turtle)
Lineage: Eukaryota; Metazoa; Chordata; Testudines; Emydidae
Description: Terrapene carolina triunguis (Three-toed box turtle) lncRNA (ENSTMTG00000007724.1)
Source: RNAcentral